AUACGGAGGGGGUUAGCGUUGUUCGGAAUUACUGGGCGUAAAGCGCACGUAGGCGGAUUAAAAAGUUAGAGGUGAAAUCCCAGGGCUUAACCCUGGAACUGCCUUUAAAACUAGUAGUCUAGAGUUCGAGAGAGGUGAGUGGAAUUCCAAGUGUAGAGGUGAAAUUCGUAGAUAUUUGGAGGAACACCAGUGGCGAAGGCGGCUCACUGGCUCGAUACUGACGCUGAGGUGCGAAAGCGUGGGGAGCAAACAGGAUUAGAAACCCCGGUAGUCC
This 274-nucleotide ribosomal RNA is filed under the name uncultured bacterium. RNAcentral describes it as "partial 16S ribosomal RNA". It matches the Rfam family "Bacterial small subunit ribosomal RNA", at positions 523 to 796 of the family's 1533-position model. The record is from RNAcentral.